UACAGAGGUCUCAAGCGUUGUCCGGAAUCAUUGGGCGUAAAGAGCGUGUAGGUGGCCCGGUCAGUCCGCCGUGAAAGUCCAGGGCUCAACCCUGGAAUGCCGGUGGAUACUGCCGGGCUGGAGUCCGGAAGAGGCGAGUGGAAUUCCUGGUGUAGCGGUGAAAUGCGCAGAUAUCAGGAGGAACACCAAUGGCGAAGGCAGCUCGCUGGGACGGUACUGACACUGAGACGCGAAAGCGUGGGGAGCAAACAGG
Molecule: ribosomal RNA, 253 nt
Filed under: uncultured bacterium
Lineage: Bacteria
Description: partial 16S ribosomal RNA
Rfam family: Bacterial small subunit ribosomal RNA
Source: RNAcentral